RNAcentral lists this ribosomal RNA (449 nucleotides) under uncultured bacterium. Its description in RNAcentral is "bacterial SSU rRNA". It matches the Rfam family "Bacterial small subunit ribosomal RNA", at positions 28 to 490 of the family's 1533-position model. The record is from RNAcentral.
GACGAACGCUGGCGGCGCGCCUAACACAUGCAAGUCGAACGAGCGAGAGAGAGCUUGCUUUCUCGAGCGAGUGGCGAACGGGUGAGUAACGCGUGAGGAACCUGCCUCAAAGAGGGGGACAACAGUUGGAAACGACUGCUAAUACCGCAUAAGCCCACGGGUCGGCAUCGACCAGAGGGAAAAGGAGCAAUCCACUUUGAGAUGGCCUCGCGUCCGAUUAGCUAGUUGGUGAGGUAACGGCCCACCAAGGCGACGAUCGGUAGCCGGACUGAGAGGUUGAACGGCCACAUUGGGACUGAGACACGGCCCAGACUCCUACGGGAGGCAGCAGUGGGGAAUAUUGCACAAUGGGGGAAACCCUGAUGCAGCGACGCCGCGUGGAGGAAGAAGGUCUUCGGAUUGUAAACUCCUGUUGUUGAGGAAGAUAAUGACGGUACUCAACAAGGAAG